CCUACGGGUGGCAGCAGUGAGGAAUAUUGGUCAAUGGUCGGGAGACUGAACCAGCCAAGCCGCGUGAGGGAUGAAGGUACAGAGUAUCGUAAACCUCUUUUGUCAGGGAACAAAGGCGGGGACGUGUCCCCGGAUGAGUGUACCUGAAGAAAAAGCAUCGGCUAACUCCGUGCCAGCAGCCGCGGUAAUACGGAGGAUGCGAGCGUUAUCCGGCUUUAUUGGUUUUAAAGGGUGCGCAGGCGGUCUGUUAAGUCAGCGGUCAAAGCCCGGGGCUCAACCCCGGCCCGCCGUUGAAACUGGCAGUCUUGAGUUGGAGAGAAGUAUGCGGAAUGCGCGGUGUAGCGGUGAAAUGCAUAGAUAUCGCGCAGAACUCCGAUUGCGAAGGCAGCAUGCCGGCUCCACACUGACGCUGAGGCACGAAAGCGUGGGUAUCGAACAGGAUUAGAUACCCCUGUAGUC
This 459-nucleotide ribosomal RNA is filed under the name uncultured bacterium. RNAcentral describes it as "partial 16S ribosomal RNA". It matches the Rfam family "Bacterial small subunit ribosomal RNA", at positions 338 to 795 of the family's 1533-position model. The record is from RNAcentral.